This 242-nucleotide ribosomal RNA is filed under the name uncultured bacterium. Its description in RNAcentral is "partial 16S ribosomal RNA". It matches the Rfam family "Bacterial small subunit ribosomal RNA", at positions 15 to 254 of the family's 1533-position model. The record is from RNAcentral.
GAUCAUGCUCAGGAUGAACGCUAGCGGCAGGCCUAACACAUGCAAGUCGAGGGGCAGCACGGUGUAGCAAUACACUGGUGGCGACCGGCGCACGGGUGCGUAACGCGUAUGCAACCUACCCAUAACAGGGGGAUAACACUGAGGAAUUGGUACUAAUACCCCAUAACAUCAGGACCGGCAUCGGUUCUAGUUGAAAACUCCGGUGGUUAUGGAUGGGCAUGCGUUGUAUUAGCUGGUUGGUG